UGGGGAAUAUUGCACAAUGGGCGAAAGCCUGAUGCAGCGACGCCGCGUGAGGGAUGACGGCCUUCGGGUUGUAAACCUCUUUCAGCAGGGAAGAAGCGAAAGUGACGGUACCUGCAGAAGAAGCACCGGCUAACUACGUGCCAGCAGCCGCGGUAAUACGUAGGGUGCGAGCGUUGUCCGGAAUUAUUGGGCGUAAAGAGCUCGUAGGCGGUUUGUCGCGUCUGGUGUGAAAACUCGAGGCUCAACCUCGAGCUUGCAUCGGGUACGGGCAGACUAGAGUGCGGUAGGGGAGACUGGAAUUCCUGGUGUAGCGGUGGAAUGCGCAGAUAUCAGGAGGAACACCGAUGGCGAAGGCAGGUCUCUGGGCCGCAACUGACGCUGAGGAGCGAAAGCAUGGGGAGCGAACA
RNAcentral lists this ribosomal RNA (407 nucleotides) under uncultured Cellulosimicrobium sp. RNAcentral describes it as "bacterial SSU rRNA". It matches the Rfam family "Bacterial small subunit ribosomal RNA", at positions 355 to 774 of the family's 1533-position model. Lineage: Bacteria; Bacillati; Actinomycetota; Actinomycetes; Micrococcales; Promicromonosporaceae. The record is from RNAcentral.